This 468-nucleotide ribosomal RNA is filed under the name uncultured bacterium. Its description in RNAcentral is "partial 16S ribosomal RNA". It matches the Rfam family "Bacterial small subunit ribosomal RNA", at positions 28 to 507 of the family's 1533-position model. The record is from RNAcentral.
GACGAACGCUGGCGGCGUGCUUAACACAUGCAAGUCGAACGGAAAGGCCCUGCUUUUGUGGGGUGCUCGAGUGGCGAACGGGUGAGUAACACGUGAGUAACCUGCCCUUGACUUUGGGAUAACUUCAGGAAACUGGGGCUAAUACCGGAUAGGAGCCCCUGCUGCAUGGUGGGGGUUGGAAAGUUUCGGCGGUUGGGGAUGGACUCGCGGCUUAUCAGCUUGUUGGUGGGGUAGUGGCUUACCAAGGCUUUGACGGGUAGCCGGCCUGAGAGGGUGACCUGCCACAUUGGGACUGAGAUACGGCCCAGACUCCUACGGGAGGCAGCAGUGGGGAAUAUUGCACAAUGGGCGGAAGCCUGAUGCAGCAACGCCGCGUGCGGGAUGGCCGCCUUCGGGUUGUAAACCGCUUUCGCCUGGGACGAAGCGUGAGUGACGGUAAUGGGUAAAGAAGCACCGGCUAACUACGUG